GGGUGAUUAGCUCAGCGGUAGAGCACUGCCUUCACACGGCAGGGGUCACAAGUUCGAACCUUGUAUCACCCA
RNAcentral lists this transfer RNA (72 nucleotides) under Comamonas sp. 26. It matches the Rfam family "tRNA". Rfam says of the family: Transfer RNA (tRNA) molecules are approximately 80 nucleotides in length. Their secondary structure includes four short double-helical elements and three loops (D, anti-codon, and T loops). Further hydrogen bonds mediate the characteristic L-shaped molecular structure. tRNAs have two regions of fundamental functional importance: the anti-codon, which is responsible for specific mRNA codon recognition, and the 3' end, to which the tRNAs corresponding amino acid is attached (by aminoacyl-tRNA synthetases). tRNAs cope with the degeneracy of the genetic code in two manners: having more than one tRNA (with a specific anti-codon) for a particular amino acid; and 'wobble' base-pairing, i.e. permitting non-standard base-pairing at the 3rd anti-codon position. RNAcentral also lists the same sequence under 1 other name. Lineage: Bacteria; Pseudomonadati; Pseudomonadota; Betaproteobacteria; Burkholderiales; Comamonadaceae. The record is from Rfam by way of RNAcentral.